CAAAGAGCCGCGGGCGUAGACAAGGAGGCACACUGAGCACCGUCCCUCGGGUCCGGGGCGGCGACUUCAGGCUGGACCUAGCGCUGAGGCGCGCGGCGAGAACAAGCUCACCUUUAAGAUUCCCCAGCAGGAGACAACCUGUGAGGCCCCCCGCCUGCCCCCGCCAACUUCUCUCGAACGCCCCGCAGUCUACCCCGCAGCCAGCUGUCAGGACCCCAGCCGCGAAGCCACCACCUCCCGAUUCCGCCCGGCCUCCCCCGCAGGAUCCUUUUAUAUCUAGAAGAUUGCUAUGAUUUAGUUGAGACCAACACAGUGGACAUACAGACAUGGCAAGAAUAUUAGCAAAUGUUUCUGAACAAUUAUUAAGAAGAGCAACACACAGCUUUCCCUGGAAACAAAGAUAAACCCUUCUUUUAUGAAAGUUUCAGAUGACCACUGAACUCGGAUCCAGAACUCAAAUAAUGAGUACCAACCUACCUUCUCAACAAGAAAUGUUAUCCCAGCAAGGCAGCUGUGAGCUAAUUAAACAGCCAAGAUCGCUGUGCUGAACUUCAGUACUGCAUUUAGAGAAUUAAUUCAGAGGACAUGUUAUUAAAGUCUAGGGUUUAUCAGAAGAAGACAGCUUUUUUUUUUUUUUAAAGCAGCAUUCAAAAAAAUUAACAUACUGGGUAAGCUUCUUGUUAUAGAUGGAGCCUAUGAGAUCCUUCAAAUAGAUACAAAAACGAAGCAAUGAAUUUCUAAGCAAAUAAUAAAGCUAUUGCCCUCAGAGACUAUGAUCUAAAAAUAGUACUUAAGAUAACUGGAGAGUACUUUCAAAAGUAAAUUUUUUCUCUAUACGGCUAUUUCUAAAAUUUUAAAAGCCACAUUGAUGAUCACAGAUAUGCUGGAGUCAGUUUCUCUCUCUCUCUCUCUCUCUCUCUCUCUCUCUCUCUCUCUCUCUCUCUCUCUCUCUCUCUCUUCUAUCU
This 965-nucleotide long non-coding RNA is filed under the name Ictidomys tridecemlineatus (thirteen-lined ground squirrel). RNAcentral describes it as "lncRNA (ENSSTOG00000031800.1)". Lineage: Eukaryota; Metazoa; Chordata; Mammalia; Rodentia; Sciuridae. The record is from RNAcentral.